AACGAACGCUGGCGGCAUGCCUAACACAUGCCAGUCGAACGAGACCUUCGGGUCUAGUGGCGCAAGGGUGCGUAAUGCGUGGCAACCGGCUCAUACGUACGGAACAACUCCCCGAGAGGGGUGCUAAUACCGGAUAAUGUUGCCGGUACCACGAUUUAUCUCCUCUGGGUGGGCCCGCGUUGGAUUAGCUGGCUGGUACGGUAAAAGCCUACCAAGGCGACGGGCCAUAGCUGGUCUGGGAGGAUGAUCCGCCACACUGGGACUGAGACACGGCCCAGACUCCUACGGAAGGAAGCAGUGGGGAAUAUUGGACGAUGGGCGAGAGCCUGCUCCAGCCAUGCCGCGUGGGUGAUGAAGGCCUUAGGAUUGUAAAGCCCUUUUACACGGGAUGAUAAUGACAGUACCGGGAGAAUAAGCUCCGGCUAACUACGUG
Molecule: ribosomal RNA, 433 nt
Filed under: uncultured bacterium
Lineage: Bacteria
Description: partial 16S ribosomal RNA
Rfam family: Bacterial small subunit ribosomal RNA
Source: RNAcentral